Molecule: long non-coding RNA, 515 nt
Organism: Amphiprion ocellaris (clown anemonefish)
Lineage: Eukaryota; Metazoa; Chordata; Actinopteri; Pomacentridae
Exons: 3
Source: RefSeq, a predicted model, not a curated record
CGGUAAUCAGCAGAUCAAGUGCAGGUGGGAGUCAUCUAAUCAGCUACUCCGGCUCCUCUAUAAAACCUGAGGCCAUUCUAUGUCCUGUGCCGGACCGUGAAGCUUAUUCCAGUUACUGCUGAAAACACCUGCUGCCAGCCUCGCUUCCUCUAAAACCUGCCAUGCCACCUGAGACGCCAUUAACGCCACCUUCCAACGCUUGGCAACCAGUCUUACCUCCACGGAUGCCGGCACUCCACCACUGGCUACUGGAACAACUGGGAAGCGAUUCGUUCCUCCCACCUGGACUGGCUGGAUGAGGGCACCCAGUAUUGACUUUCCACCAUCUCCGUCAGUUAAGAUCCUGUCAUUAGUCCACCAAACCACUAGAGGGUAUCUCGAUCCGCUCAGCCUUUGGCGGCCUUGGUUGAUCCGUUUCCAGCUCCGUCUAGUUCCGGUUUACUUUUGUAGUUCUUGUGAUUUUUUUUUUUUUUUUGUCCUUAUUUCCUGUUGGAAAUAAAAGCAUUUAAAAAUCA